This 1370-nucleotide ribosomal RNA is filed under the name Termitinae sp. RNAcentral describes it as "16S ribosomal RNA". The stretch from base 892 to 1265 matches the Rfam family "Bacterial large subunit ribosomal RNA", at positions 2075 to 2645 of the family's 2925-position model. The record is from RNAcentral. Lineage: Eukaryota; Metazoa; Arthropoda; Insecta; Blattodea; Termitidae.
CGACAUGAUCUGAUUUUGUUGAUUGUCUUGUUUUAUGUUUUUGUUUUAUUUGAUGUUGGCUGAAAUAACAUUUUAGUUGUUGUAUUUUUUUGAUUUAAUUUUUAUACGAUAGUGUACUUGUACUGUAAGGGGUUGUGUUUUUAAUAUUUUUUAAGAAGUUGAUUUAUUUUAUUGUACCUUGUGUAUCAGGGUUCAUUGAAUUUUAUUAUUUAUUUUUAUUUCCCGAUUUUAGUGGAGUUAAUGGUCUAUGUUGGUUGUUGUUUCAACAACAUUAAUAAUAGGUUGUUGGUAGUGAAAUGUUAUUCGUCUUUAAUGGUUUCUGGUUUUUCAAGAAAUGAAUUUAAUUCAUGCAUCUUAUUUAAUUUCUGUUGUUUUAUUCUCUUUUUUUAUUUGAUGUUAAGAUUAAGGGGGAUUAGCUCCUUGUUUUAUUUUUAUAAUUAUUUGUUUUAUUUAGUUUUGUGGAUUUUAUAUUGAUUUUCAAUUUGAUUAUGUUAAAAUUUUAUUUUUUCUUUUAUAUAUUUCUUUUUGGUUUAAUUUGUUUAUUGGAAUAUUUUCUUUAUUUUGGUUUGAGUAACAAUUAUUGUGUAAUUAGUAAAUCUUUUGUUCUUAUUUAUAGUUUAAAGUGGUUGAUGUUAAUUUCUUUUUAGGAAUUAGGCAAAAUUUCGUGUCCGCCUGUUUAACAAAAACAUCUUUUCUCGUUAGUUUUUGAAGUAUGGCCUGCCCACUGACGAAUGUAAAGUUGAAGGGCCGCGGUAUUUUGACCGUGCAAAGGUAGCAUAAUCAUUAGUUCUUUAAUUGUGAUCUGGUAUGAAUGGCUUGACGAGAUACGAGCUGUCUUAAUAGAAUUUUUUAUUGAAUUUGGUCUUUGAGUUAAAAUACUUAGAUGUUUUUAUGGGACGAGAAGACCCUAUAGAGUUUGACAAUCCUUCUUAUUUAUUUGGUAUAUAGUUUGUUAUUUUAUUUAAUGGGUUGUAUUGUUUUGUUGGGGUGAUGGGAGGAAUGAUUUUAACUCCUCUUUGUUAUGUUAUAUUCAUGUAUAUAUAUAUAUUGAUCCAUUGAUUUUGAUUAUAAGAUUAAAUUACCUUAGGGAUAACAGCGUUAUCUUCCUUGAGAGUUCUUAUUGGCGGGAAGGUUUGCGACCUCGAUGUUGGAUUAAGGUGAAUUUUCGGUGCAGGAGCUGGGAAGUUUGAUUAGGUCUGUUCGACCUUUAAAACCUUACAUGAUCUGAGUUCAGACCGGCGUGAGCCAGGUUGGUUUCUAUCUAUUAUAAUUUAUUAUGCCUUAGUACGAGAGGACCGGGCAUUCGGAAUAAUUUUGUUUUAUUACUUGAUUUUUAUUAAUGUGGUUACUAUUUUGGCAGACAAGUGCAU